This 952-nucleotide ribosomal RNA is filed under the name Xanthoria parietina. Its description in RNAcentral is "partial large subunit ribosomal RNA". It matches the Rfam family "Eukaryotic large subunit ribosomal RNA", at positions 1 to 969 of the family's 3401-position model. The record is from RNAcentral. Lineage: Eukaryota; Fungi; Ascomycota; Lecanoromycetes; Teloschistales; Teloschistaceae.
GACCUCGGAUCAGGUAGGGAUACCCGCUGAACUUAAGCAUAUCAAUAAGCGGAGGAAAAGAAACCAACAGGGAUUGCCUCAGUAACGGCGAGUGAAGCGGCAACAGCUCAAAUUUGAAAUCUGGCCUUAAGCGGGGUCCGAAUUGUAAUUUGCAGAGGGCGUUUCGGGCGACGCGCCGGUCUAAGUCCCUUGGAACGGGGCGUCAUAGAGGGUGAGAAUCCCGUAUGUGACCGGCGACCGAGCCUGUGUGAAACCCCUUCGACGAGUCGAGUUGUUUGGGAAUGCAGCUCAAAGCGGGUGGUAAAUUUCAUCUAAAGCUAAAUACCGGCCAGAGACCGAUAGCGCACAAGUAGAGUGAUCGAAAGAUGAAAAGCACUUUGGAAAGAGAGUCAAAAAGUACGUGAAAUUGUUGAAAGGGAAGCGCUUGCAACCAGACCUGCCCGCGGGUGAUCAGCCGUCCUUCGGGGCGGUGCACUCACCCGCGAUCAGGCCAGCAUCGGUUCGGGCGGUCGGAUAAAGGCCUUGGGAACGUGGCUCCCCUCGGGGAGCGUUAUAGCCCAGGGUGCAAUGCGGCCCGCCCGGACCGAGGACCGCGCUUCGGCUAGGAUGCUGGCGUAAUGGUUGUAAGCGGCCCGUCUUGAAACACGGACCAAGGAGUCGACCAACCGUGCGAGUGUUUGGGCGUCAAACCCACACGCGCAAUGAAAGUGAACGGAGGUGGGAACCCCUCGCGGGGCGCACCAUCGACCGAUCCAGAUGUCUUCGGAUGGAUUUGAGUACGAGCAUGGCUGGUCGGACCCGAAAGAUGGUGAACUAUGCCUGGAUAGGGUGAAGCCAGAGGAAACUCUGGUGGAGGCUCGCAGCGGUUCUGACGUGCAAAUCGAUCGUCAAAUUUGGGCAUAGGGGCGAAAGACUAAUCGAACCAUCUAGUAGCUGGUUCCAGCCGAAGUUC